UUUGAAACUGGCAGGCUAGAGUCUUGUAGAGGGGGGUAGAAUUUCAGGUGUAGCGGUGAAAUGCGUAGAGAUCUGAAGGAAUACCAGUGGCGAAGGCGGCCCCCUGGACAAAGACUGACGCUCAGAUGCGAAAGCGUGGGUAGCAAACAGGAUUAGAUACCCUGGUAGUCCACGCCGUAAACGCUGUCUACUUGGAGGUUGAGGUUUAAGACUUUGGCUUUCGGCGCCAACGCAUUAAGUAGACCGCCUGGGGAGUACGGCCGCAAGGUUAAAACUCAAAUGAAUUGACGGGGGCCCGCACAAGCGGUGGAGCAUGUGGUUUAAUUCGAUGCAACGCGAAGAACCUUACCUACUCUUGACAUCCAGCGAAGCCUUUAGAGAUAGAGGCGUGCCUUCGGGAGCGCUGAGACAGGUGCUGCAUGGCUGUCGUCAGCUCGUGUUGUGAAAUGUUGGGUUAAGUCCCGCAACGAGCGCAACCCUUAUCCUUGUUUGCCAGCACGUAAUGGUGGGAACUCCAGGGAGACUGCCGGUGAUAAACCGGAGGAAGGUGGGGACGACGUCAAGUCAUCAUGGCCCUUACGAGUAGGGCUACACACGUGCUACAAUGGCAGAUACAGAGGGCAGCGAAGCUGCGAAGUGGAGCGAAUCCCUUAAAGUCUGUCGUAGUCCGGAUUGGAGUCUGCAACUCGACUCCAUGAAGUCGGAAUCGCUAGUAACCGUGGAUCAGAAUGCCACGGUGAAUACGUUCCCGGGCCUUGCACACACCGCCCG
Molecule: ribosomal RNA, 771 nt
Filed under: uncultured bacterium
Lineage: Bacteria
Description: bacterial SSU rRNA
Rfam family: Bacterial small subunit ribosomal RNA
Source: RNAcentral